This is a long non-coding RNA of Olea europaea var. sylvestris, 1602 nucleotides long. RefSeq lists it as uncharacterized. The record is from RefSeq and is a predicted model, not a curated record. Lineage: Eukaryota; Viridiplantae; Streptophyta; Magnoliopsida; Lamiales; Oleaceae. The transcript is spliced from 2 exons.
UUUCUGUGUGACCAAAUCAGUGUUAUUUUUAUAUUUUUUUCAUGGUAUCAGAGCCUUCCCAAGCUCACGCUUAUUGUGCUUCUAUGGCUACUACUGGUUCUACAUCUUCUUUCGCUGCUUUUCAUCUACCUGAGCAGGUUAUUUCCAUCAAGCUUGAUGGGACAAAUUACCUUGCCUAGAGUGCCCAACUUCUGCCAAUUUUUCGAAGCUAUGGCUUGAUGGGAAUUGUUGAUGGUUCUAAUUCCUGUCCUCCUCAAUUUACCAGUGAUGAUCAAAAAGCUCUGGGUGUUCUUAAUCCUGCCUAUGUGGUUUGGCAAUAUAAGGACCAAACAGUGCUUGGCUGGAUAAUUUCAUCUUUAUCUCCUUCGGUGGUCUCCACUAUUUAUGGUCUUAAGACCUCUCAGCUUGCUUAGCAAGCCCUUAGCUCACGUUUUGCUACUCCAUCCACAUCUCGAAUUUCUCUCAUCAAAACAAAGCUUCAGUCCAUUCAGCAUGGAUCCUUUUCAUGUCAAGAGUUUUUUUACUGAAGUGAAGAACCUUUCCGAUGAAUUGUUCGCAGUUGGCAAACAUGUGGAAGAUUCAGACUUGGUUCUUUCUGUCCUCAACAGGCUCAACUCCUCCUUUCAUUCCUUUAUGACCACCUAUAUGCUUAUCUCCAGAAAGAAGAUGUCUUUCUCAGAUUUUCAAGCUGAGUUGCUCAAUUUUGAUCUCAUGCAAAAAUUUCACAAUCAAUCCAUUCAACCUGAGACUGGUUCCUAUGCGUUGUACUCUAACAAGUCUCAGUCUAAGCCUCACCCUAACAAGACUUGAACCUCAGCUCCUUCGAAAAUCCAAGUGCAAUGAUCCUUAUCUAAAUUUCGACACCCACUGCCUCACUUGCCCUCUUCCUCAGUAUAGUCCCCAAAGCAAUCUAUGAACAAUCGCCUAAAAUCUCCAUGUCAAAUCUGUAAAAAGGGGGAUCAUCAAGCACUUGACUGCUUCAACCACAUAAACUAUGCCUUUCAGGGACGUCAUCCUUCUACUGAAUUGGCUUCCAUGGUUGCUGAGGCUAAUACCACUUAUUUAUCUCAACAUUAAGGUAUGCUGAUAGUGGUGCCAACAAAUAUGUCACCUCUGACAUUGCUAAUCUUGCUACCUCGCAGCCCUAUGAAGGCCAUGACUCCGUGGGUGUAGGACAUCUCGACAAGGGUCACGCUUUUGACAGGGCCGAGUGAAAAUGGAUUGUACUCGAUCAACCUGCGUCAACUCUCAUCUUCCAAGCUACAUGCUCUGACCAUGAUUGUCAAUGUUAAGGCUUCAAGCUCCACUUGACAUUGUGGCCUAGGGCAUCCCUUCUUUCCAACUCUUAGCCGUGUCAUUUCUAGUUUUUCUCUUCCUGUUAGUGACUCCCUUAGUAAAGAGUCAAUUUGUGUGUCUUGUCAGUUAGGAAAGUCUAAGCAGUUGCCUUUCUCCAAUUAUUUAUGAGAAAGUUUUGCUCCUAUAGAGUCGAUUCAUUUUGAUGUAUGGACCACAUCCACUCAAUCUUUAAGUGGCUGUCGAUAUUGUGUUAUUUUUAUUGAUUUUGGAAUGCUCUAUAAAGCUGGACCAAUUGUUCUCAAUGCU